RNAcentral lists this ribosomal RNA (497 nucleotides) under uncultured bacterium. Its description in RNAcentral is "partial 16S ribosomal RNA". It matches the Rfam family "Bacterial small subunit ribosomal RNA", at positions 28 to 507 of the family's 1533-position model. The record is from RNAcentral.
GAUGAACGCUGGCGGCGUGCCUAAUACAUGCAAGUCGAGCGAACGGACGAGAAGCUUUCUUCUCUGAUGUUAGCGGCGGACGGGGGAGUAACACGUGGAUAACCUACCUAUAAGACUGGGAUAACUUCGGGAAACCGGAGCUAAUACCGGAUAAUAUUUUGAACCGCAUGGUUCAAAAGUGAAAGACGGUCUUGCUGUCACUUAUAGAUGGAUCCGCGCUGCAUUAGCUAGUUGGUAAGGUAACGGCUUACCAAGGCAACGAUGCAUAGCCGACCUGAGAGGAUGAUCGGCCACACUGGAACUGAGACACGGUCCAGACUCCUACGGGAGGCAGCAGUAGGGAAUAUUGCGCAAUGGGCGAAAGCCUGACGGAGCAACGCCGCGUGAGUGAUGAAGGUCUUCGGAUCGUAAAACUCUGUUAUUAGGGAAGAACAUAUGUGUAAGUAACUGUGCACAUCUUGACGGUACCUAAUCAGAAAGCCACGGCUAACUACGUG